This 429-nucleotide ribosomal RNA is filed under the name uncultured bacterium. Its description in RNAcentral is "bacterial SSU rRNA". It matches the Rfam family "Bacterial small subunit ribosomal RNA", at positions 355 to 776 of the family's 1533-position model. The record is from RNAcentral.
UGGGGAAUUUUGGACAAUGGGCGAAAGCCUGAUCCAGCCAUGCCGCGUGAGUGAAGAAGGCCUUCGGGUUGUAAAGCUCUUUCGGCCGGAACGAAAUCGUCCGGGUUAAUACCCCGGAUGGAUGACGGUACCGGAAGAAGAAGCACCGGCUAACUACGUGCCAGCAGCCGCGGUAAUACGUAGGGUGCAGGCGUUAAUCGGAAUUACUGGGCGUAAAGCGUGCGCAGGCGGCUUCCUAAGUCAGAUGUGAAAUCCCCGGGCUCAACCUGGGAACUGCGUUUGAAACUGGGAGGCUAGAGUGCGGCAGAGGGGGGUGGAAUUCCACGUGUAGCAGUGAAAUGCGUAGAUAUGUGGAGGAACACCGAUGGCGAAGGCAGCCCCCUGGGCCUGCACUGACGCUCAUGCACGAAAGCGUGGGGAGCAAACAGG